This 253-nucleotide ribosomal RNA is filed under the name uncultured bacterium. RNAcentral's name for it is "partial 16S ribosomal RNA". It matches the Rfam family "Bacterial small subunit ribosomal RNA", at positions 524 to 776 of the family's 1533-position model. The record is from RNAcentral.
UACGUAGGUGGCAAGCGUUGUCCGGAUUUAUUGGGCGUAAAGGGGGCGCAGGCGGUUUCUUAAGUCUGAUGUGAAAGCCCACGGCUCAACCGUGGAAGGUCAUUGGAAACUGGGGAACUUGAGUGCAGAAGAGGAGGGUGGAGUUCCAUGUGUAGCGGUGAAAUGCGUAGAUAUAUGGAGGAACACCAGUGGCGAAGGCGACUCUCUGGCCAUAAACUGACGCUGAGGUACGAAAGCGUGGGUAGCAAACAGG